RNAcentral lists this ribosomal RNA (484 nucleotides) under uncultured bacterium. Its description in RNAcentral is "partial 16S ribosomal RNA". It matches the Rfam family "Bacterial small subunit ribosomal RNA", at positions 30 to 507 of the family's 1533-position model. The record is from RNAcentral.
AUUGAACGCUGGCGGCAGGCCUAACACAUGCAAGUCGAGCGGAUGAAGGGAGCUUGCUCCUGGAUUCAGCGGCGGACGGGUGAGUAAUGCCUAGGAAUCUGCCUGGUAGUGGGGGAUAACGUCCGGAAACGGGCGCUAAUACCGCAUACGUCCUGAGGGAGAAAGUGGGGGAUCUUCGGACCUCACGCUAUCAGAUGAGCCUAGGUCGGAUUAGCUAGUUGGUGGGGUAAAGGCCUACCAAGGCGACGAUCCGUAACUGGUCUGAGAGGAUGAUCAGUCACACUGGAACUGAGACACGGUCCAGACUCCUACGGGAGGCAGCAGUGGGGAAUAUUGGGCAAUGGGCGAAAGCCUGAUCCAGCCAUGCCGCGUGUGUGAAGAAGGUCUUCGGAUUGUAAAGCACUUUAAGUUGGGAGGAAGGACAGUAAGUUAAUACCUGGCUGUUUUGACGUUACCAACAGAAUAAGCACCGGCUAACUUCGUG